This 73-nucleotide transfer RNA is filed under the name Stegodyphus dumicola. RNAcentral's name for it is "tRNA-Thr". It matches the Rfam family "tRNA". Rfam says of the family: Transfer RNA (tRNA) molecules are approximately 80 nucleotides in length. Their secondary structure includes four short double-helical elements and three loops (D, anti-codon, and T loops). Further hydrogen bonds mediate the characteristic L-shaped molecular structure. tRNAs have two regions of fundamental functional importance: the anti-codon, which is responsible for specific mRNA codon recognition, and the 3' end, to which the tRNAs corresponding amino acid is attached (by aminoacyl-tRNA synthetases). tRNAs cope with the degeneracy of the genetic code in two manners: having more than one tRNA (with a specific anti-codon) for a particular amino acid; and 'wobble' base-pairing, i.e. permitting non-standard base-pairing at the 3rd anti-codon position. Lineage: Eukaryota; Metazoa; Arthropoda; Arachnida; Araneae; Eresidae. The record is from RNAcentral.
GCCACCAUAUCUCAGUCGUUAGAGCACUGGUCUUGUAAACCAGAGGUCGUGAGUUCGAUUCUCACUGGUGGCU